Non-coding RNA from Microcebus murinus (gray mouse lemur), 1221 nucleotides. NCBI's taxonomy places the organism in Eukaryota, Metazoa, Chordata, Mammalia, Primates, Cheirogaleidae. The record is from RefSeq and is a predicted model, not a curated record.
UCUGAGGCUCCUGAAUAGAGUCAAGUCAGCUGGCCAAAAUUGAGACUUUCGCUUAAACUCACACCAACAUGUUUAAAAAGUACUUUUUAAAACCAAUGAAAUGUAUUUUGUUCCCCAAAUCACAAAGAAAGCAAGAGUAGAGUUCCCAUAAAAUGUAAAUGAAAGUUGAAAAAAAAAAAAAAAAACAGAAAAUGUGAGAUAAUAUUUUCUUUCUUCUAUGCCCACCACUUGCAUUUCACUUCAUAGACAGGGAGAAGUUUUUCUCAGAAAUACUUGAAUAUUUUGAGCUGCACAGAGCCCCCAUCUUUCCAUGUCUCUGGUGUCCUCGGCUUGAUGGAACGGUCGUGGUUAAUGGUAAACAGGACAAGAGAGGCCUGGAGCUACAGCUUCAGAAGUGAAACAGAUGAGACUUGAUUCAUCGUUAUCUGCAAUGAAAGGCAAUCCAAAGUAAUAAAAAGCAAUGUGAAAAGUUUUCAAUUUACCUCUAUAUUCCAGAUUUUCAACCAUCCAUCAGCAUCUCCUGUGGUGAGGAAGUCCUGUGGUACUGCUCUUCAUGGAGAACAAAGAAAAGCCCAAAAAGUAAGGCUAAGUCUGAUCAAAUUUGUCCUGCUGAGGAGCAAGGCCGCAAUACCUAGACCACUGCUCGCAGGUGCUCAGUGGGGACAGCUCCCUGACGAGUGUCAAUGACAAGUGAAGAUCAGAAGAGAAGAGAUGAGUUUGGAUGUAUUAAUACAAAAGGUGACUUUCUUGUGAUUUGGGGAGAGGAAAGAGAAAUAUAUAUUAAACUCUGUAUUGUCCUGGAAAGAGCAAUUUAUUAACUCACAAAUUGGCCAAGGGAGAUGAAAUUCACCUGUUCAUGGGAGUAUCCAUUUUCUCUAUGAUUUUGAAAUGCUUUAUUUACAAAAUGCUCGACCAAACAUUUUCACAUAGGACUGAUGAGAUCAGAAUAAAUGAAAAGAUUAUCCAUCAAUACAAUAGUGUUUUAUGACACUUUCGCAGUAAGAACCACACAACUUUAUAGUUCAUUCUCUCCAUCACAUUUCAAUGUGAUCCUCCCUGCAGGGGCGGAAUUUCAGUGUUUGUAAAGCAAAUUCAGCUACAGAGCUGGCCCUAACAGACAGUAAUCAGGGAAGUCCUGGAAACAGUGGAGCUACAAAUGUAAAUAGAUCAGUAAGCCUCAUUUUGUAACAUUUCAUAGAUAUCCUGGCUCUUUUCCUGUAA